Molecule: ribosomal RNA, 523 nt
Filed under: Diaporthe sp. F0422
Lineage: Eukaryota; Fungi; Ascomycota; Sordariomycetes; Diaporthales; Diaporthaceae
Description: eukaryotic LSU rRNA
Rfam family: 5.8S ribosomal RNA (bases 194-347)
Source: RNAcentral
UGCGGAGGGAUCAUUGCUGGAACGCGCCCCAGGCGCACCCAGAAACCCUUUGUGAACUUAUACCUUACUGUUGCCUCGGCGCUAGCUGGUCCUUCGGGGCCCCUCACCCUCGGGUGUUGAGACAGCCCGCCGGCGGCCAACCCAACUCUUGUUUUUACACUGAAACUCUGAGAAUAAAACAUAAAUGAAUCAAAACUUUCAACAACGGAUCUCUUGGUUCUGGCAUCGAUGAAGAACGCAGCGAAAUGCGAUAAGUAAUGUGAAUUGCAGAAUUCAGUGAAUCAUCGAAUCUUUGAACGCACAUUGCGCCCUCUGGUAUUCCGGAGGGCAUGCCUGUUCGAGCGUCAUUUCAACCCUCAAGCCUGGCUUGGUGAUGGGGCACUGCCUGUAAAAGGGCAGGCCCUGAAAUUCAGUGGCGAGCUCGCCAGGACCCCGAGCGCAGUAGUUAAACCCUCGCUUUGGAAGGCCCUGGCGGUGCCCUGCCGUUAAACCCCCAACUUCUGAAAAUUUGACCUCGGAUCAG